AGCUCAAAUUUAUAAUCUGGCACCUUCGGUGUCCGAGUUGUAAUCUCUAGAAAUGUUUUCCGCGUUGGACCGCACACAAGUCUGUUGGAAUACAGCGGCAUAGUGGUGAGACCCCCGUAUAUGGUGCGGACGCCCAGCGCUUUGUGAUACAUUUUCGAAGAGUCGAGUUGUUUGGGAAUGCAGCUCAAAUUGGGUGGUAAAUUCCAUCUAAAGCUAAAUAUUGGCGAGAGACCGAUAGCGAACAAGUACCGUGAGGGAAAGAUGAAAAGCACUUUGGAAAGAGAGUUAACAGUACGUGAAAUUGUUGGAAGGGAAACGCUUGAAGUCAGACUUGCUUGCUGAGCAAUCGGUUUGCAGGCCAGCAUCAGUUUUCCGGGAUGGAUAAUGGUAGAGAGAAGGUAGCAGUUUCGGCUGUGUUAUAGCUCUCUGCUGGAUACAUCUUGGGGGACUGAGGAACGCAGUGUGCCUUUGGCGGGGGUUUCGACCUCUUCACACUUAGGAUGCUGGUGGAAUGGCUUUAAACGACCCGUCUUGAAACACGGACCA
RNAcentral lists this ribosomal RNA (546 nucleotides) under Rhodotorula mucilaginosa. RNAcentral describes it as "partial large subunit ribosomal RNA". It matches the Rfam family "Eukaryotic large subunit ribosomal RNA", at positions 106 to 668 of the family's 3401-position model. Lineage: Eukaryota; Fungi; Basidiomycota; Microbotryomycetes; Sporidiobolales; Sporidiobolaceae. The record is from RNAcentral.